RNAcentral lists this transfer RNA (70 nucleotides) under Eigenmannia sp. CBM-ZF-10620. RNAcentral's name for it is "tRNA-Met". It matches the Rfam family "tRNA". From Rfam's summary of the family: Transfer RNA (tRNA) molecules are approximately 80 nucleotides in length. Their secondary structure includes four short double-helical elements and three loops (D, anti-codon, and T loops). The record is from RNAcentral. Lineage: Eukaryota; Metazoa; Chordata; Actinopteri; Gymnotiformes; Sternopygidae.
AGUGAAGUCAGCUAACACAAGCUUUCGGGCCCAUACCCCGAAAAUGUAGGUUAAACCCCUACCGUCACUA